GGCUGACAUUCACAACAGCUGCACUUCCAGAGAUCUCUUUGGUGAACCAGGUUUGCUUUGACAACCAAGAAAGAUGUGCUCCCGUCAGGACAAAGACCAAUGCUACAAGCAGGAGAAACAGGAAGGAUCCUGUUGUAGUGGCCGGAGGUCUUCCACCAGUGAGGACCGAGGUUCCUGCUGUCUGGGACGGAGGAACAGCGGAGGGUGUCAUGGCAAUCAGGGUUCAUCCGGCUGUCACGGGAAGCAACAAGAGCAGCAACAGCAACAGCAACAGCAGCAGCAGGUCUUCCAAGUGCCAUCUCAGAAGCUGAAGUAACACUAAGGAGAAUUCCUAGGAGGGUUUUGGUGGAUCAUUUCAACACCAGUUGCUGAGCAGCUUUAUCCUUGCGCCAAGAUCCACCACCCAAAAUGCUCCAAAUUCUCAGCUGCCUCUUCUCCUCUUCAAAGGGGGUCAUCAUUUGGAGCAUGAGAAGAGCAAGAAGAGACAUCCAGAUAUUUCUAUUUGCACACAUAAGAGAAUAAAAAAAUAAACAAUUAAUCAUAAUGAA
Zootoca vivipara (common lizard) is the source of this 548-nucleotide non-coding RNA. The record is from RefSeq and is a predicted model, not a curated record. Lineage: Eukaryota; Metazoa; Chordata; Lepidosauria; Squamata; Lacertidae.